Molecule: ribosomal RNA, 505 nt
Filed under: uncultured bacterium
Lineage: Bacteria
Description: partial 16S ribosomal RNA
Rfam family: Bacterial small subunit ribosomal RNA
Source: RNAcentral
GACGAACGCUGGCGGCGUGCCUAAUACAUGCAAGUAGAACGCACAGUUUAUACCGUAGCUUGCUACACCAUAAACUGUGAGUUGCGAACGGGUGAGUAACGCGUAGGUAACCUGCCUGGUAGCGGGGGAUAACUAUUGGAAACGAUAGCUAAUACCGCAUAAUAUUGAUUAUUGCAUGAUAAUUGAUUGAAAGAUGCUAUUGCAUCACUACCAGAUGGACCUGCGUUGUAUUAGCUAGUAGGUGAGGUAACGGCUCACCUAGGCGACGAUACAUAGCCGAACUGAGAGGGUGAUCGGCCACACUGGGACUGAGACACGGCCCAGACUCCUACGGGAGGCAGCAGUAGGGAAUCGUCGGCAAUGGACGAAAGUCUGACCGAGCAACGCCGCGUGAGUGAAGAAGGUUGUCGGAUCGUAAAGCUCGGUUGUAAGAGAAGAACGGGUGUGAGAGUGGAAAGUUCACACUGUGACGGUAUCUUACCAGAAAGGGACGGCUAACUACGUG